AAAACCGUCGCUGAACAUCCUCCGGCCGAAAAAAGCACACACAAGCCGGUGUAAAAAUGUAUAUAUAAAAGGUCUAUUUUGAGAUUUCUCUUUUUUUUUUUUCUUCUUCUUUUUUUCUUUUUCUUUUUUUCUUUCUUUCUUUCUUUCUUUCCAUCGUUAACUUCUCUUUUCCAUUAUAUUUCGUCUCCGCAAAUUUACUUCUCCUUAUGUAUUAUUUAAUAAUUCGUCAGAGAUAUAUACAGGGUGUCCUAUCAUUUCUCGUGUCUUGUAUACAUUCGAAUAAAUAUAAUCCUAUUUUAAUGGCAAAUAUGUCGAGGAUAUAAAAGUUUUUCGUCGAUGUCCACGACGUCCUCGAUGUUUACAACGACGACCUCAUCAUACCCCACCACACCCUCCCACCCAUCCCGCCAGUGUGAUGUCGAAUAAUAUAUAAUAACAUGACAUUAAUAUAACGUUUUAAAUAUGACGGUCAUCUUUCGAUUCGAUUUAUUUAUUUUAUUUGUUUUAUUUAUUUUUUAUUUGUUCACUUUAUUUAUUUCGUUAUUGGUUUAUCUGUUAAUGAGCAAAUCCCUUUAGAAUUGGAACGUUGAUCCUUUCUCUAUGAUAUUAAAAUUGAAAUUUACUUUUAGAAUAUAUUAAUACGUAUAUAUAUAUAUAUAUAUAUAUAUAUAUAUAUAUAUUAAUAAAAAAAAAUAUUUUCGAUCAAACAUAGAUAUUUCUCAAUCUUCAAUUUUCUUUCUUUUUUCCUUUUUUUUUUUUUUUUUCUUUUCACCAUAUCAUUCAAUCAUAUCGAAAAUGUUUAAUACGCCUUAUAUAAAAUGCUUCAACCCUUCCUCUGAUAGUCGACAAUAAUAAGAACGACAAUGUGAACAACUACGAGAUCAAAGUGGAAGAGUAAUAGAAAAUCGUAGAAAGAGUUUUAAGUUAAAAGGGAAGAAAAUAAGGACGACAAUGGGGAAAGGCAAAUAUGACCUCCGCGUACAAAAAGAAAAGAAAAGAAAAGAAAAGCAAAGCAAAGCGAAGCAAAGCGAAGCGAAACGAAACGAAGAAAAGAAAAGGAAAGAAAGAAAAAAUGAAAAAGAAAAAGAAAGAAGAAGAAGAAGAAGAAGAAGAAGAAGUAGAAGAAGAAGAAGAAAAAGAAACACGAGCUUAGCGUGUCGCAAAAGUCGCUUAGGUAUUCGUGAGUAAGCGCACGUACGAACCUUAAGAGGAGAGGAAUUCAUCCGCGAGAGUCUAACGGCAUAAAAUCAGUUCUCGUACUCUCGCUUGAAGAGAAUUAUCGUUGUCUCUGUAUGUGUGUAUGUGACACGCGAACAACGACGACGACAACAACGACGACGACGACGGCGACGACGACGACGACGACGACGACGACAACGGCUAUGGGGAUAUAUCGUGACGGUUUUGUAAUCGAAAUUUCUCCUCGCCUCAAAUACAUGUACCUACCUACCAACCUACUCGAUUCGUCCUUCUAGAAAGGCGCAUUAUAACUCCUGCUUUGUGCGAGCAACACCAGAGUACCAGUAGUACCAGCACAAGUAUACCAGUACCACCAGUAAGUGUAACUAGCAACAGUACGAGUAAAACUACAAGUACCAAGUACAAGUACACCUGGUGCAAGUACCAGUAGCAGUACAACUUGAUUUUCGUAACCCAAAGAGAGUGAUGGAAAGAGAGAAAGAGAGAAAGAGAGAGAGAGAGAGAGAGAGAGAGAGAGAGAGAGAGAGAGAGAGAGAUGGAGAUGGAGAAGGUGAACCUAACGAUGCUCGAGUUUUAACUCUACAAAGUACGACCUAAUUUUCUUCAUUAAACUGUCCUUGCCUCUUUCCCUCUCUCUCUCUCUCUCUCUCUAUCUAUCUAUCUAUCUAUCUCUCUUUUACUUUCUCCAUCUCUAUCUCUUACUCUAUCUCUUUCUCAUUUUCAUGUCCUCAUAAAAGUACACAGAUAUUUUUUCCUCUUAUUUCUUCUUCUCUACCUCUACCUCUUUUUCUUCUUUCUCCUCUCUCUCUCUCUCUCUCUCUCUCUCUCUCUCUCUCUCUCUUUUUCUCUUUUACUAUCGUAUAUAAAGUACUGUAAAAUGAAAAAGGAUCGAAAUGGACGAUUUUUCGGAACGUUUCACUGAGAGAAAAGGUACUUUAUACAGGUCACGUAACUUUCUCGUGGUGAGUGCUCACUCGUUCGCUUCGUUCGUUCGCUUGGCGUUAGCCUGUUGCUCGAACCAAAUUAAUUCACACACGGUUACGUCAGUGUGUAUGUGUACGUGUCUAUCUGUGUGUGUGUGCGCGCGCGCGCGCGCGUGUGUGUGUGUAUGUGUAUCCGUCUCUUUCUAUCUGUGUGCGUGUGUAUGCGUGAACGUUUGUGCAUGGGUCACGGAACGGGUCAUAUAAAUAUUAUAUUCGAAUCAUUUUUUCAAAUUGAUUAUAAGGUUUUCCCUUUUUUUCUUUUUUUUUUUUUUUUUUUUUUAUUCAUUCAUUUAUUUUUUCUUUUGUUUUCCUUCGUUUAUUCUCCUUUUUUUUUUUUUUUUCCAUUUUUCCUCAAUUUCUCAAAACCUGAACAAACCGUUUCGAAACAAUUUUUUUACUUGUUUUUUUUUUUAUUGACCUAGGAUAAUUCUGUGCGUUAAUAAACGUGCGGUGUCUAAGUAAGAACGUAAAAAAGAAAAAAAAAAACAAAAAGAGAGAGAGAGAGAGAGAGAAGAAAGAAAAACGAAAUAACGAGAAGAAUAAUUAUUUUACUUUUCAACUUUCGAAUCAGAUGUAAGAAUCAUCUCUAUCGCGAACAGACAAUUUGCAUUAAUAUUGAAUUAAAAUAUUAUAUACCGAUGACGAUGAUGGGUUUUAUUUAUGUUUCUGUCUUCUUCUUUUUCUUUUUUUUUUUUUUACCUUUUUCUUUUUCUCUUUCUUUUUCCUUUCUUUCUUUUCUUCUCUUCUUUAAUAUGCCGAUCGAUAAAUCUAUGCAUUCAUUGGAUUGAGAACGAAAAAAGUUCUCGAUCGAAUUGAAAUUCAGCACCUAUUUACGCUGUCCAAUCCCUUCACUCGUUCUAUUUGCACACUUUCGAAUCUCUACGGAUGUACCUAAUACCUUUACGUACACACACACACACACACACAUACACACACAUGUAUAUAUAUAUAUAUAUAUAUAACACACAUACACACACAAAUUUACGCGUACGCGCAAUAUGUGUCUCCGCGUAAAAUGACGAAAUGUAGUUGGACGUAAGACGAGGCAAAAAAAAAAAAAAAAAGAAAAGGAAAAGAAAAAGAAAAAAAAAGGGAAGGGAGAAUGGACAUCUUCGAAGAUAAGAUUAUAGUUUGCCAAGAAAUAAUACGCACAAAAGUAAUACAUAGAAUGUACGUAAUAAAAACGAAAGUUCAAUGUAAACAAUAGAAAGAAAAAGAAAAAAAAAGAAAAUCAAUAGAAAGCUCCUAAAAAAAAGAAAAAAGGAAUGAAAAAGAAGAGAUAAAUAAAUCCAUCGCAAAGAGAAAAAGAAGAAGGAAAAAAAAAAACAGAGAAAGAGAGAGGGAAAAAAAAGAGGAAAAGUAACUCUACUAGAUAUUUCCAUAUCAGAUAUUACAAUAAAAAUAUCUGAUUGAUUGGAUAUAACCAAUAAAAACAAACAAAAAAAAAAAAAAAAAAAACAAAAAGAAAAAAGCAAAAAAAAAAAAAGAAAAGAAAAGAAAAGAAAAGAAAAACAAAUGGAGAAUAUAAAAAGAUCAUUCGUUAUACAUCGUGAUAGUCUAUGUAAGAUAUGGUUUUAGAUAUUUCAUAUAUAAACGAACAGGAAUGAAUGGUUGGACUAACUCGAACAUAGACUAAUAGCGAAGGUACUUUCUAAUGUGCCAGCUUAUAUGGUCGCCACCACCGAAUGCGGUUCGUGUCUGCGGAUGACAGGAGUUUACAACAGCAAGUGCUUAACGUUCCCAUUUACGAGUCCUACGAGGUGGUUGUUACUAAUUUGUUCGAGCUAUAAUAUAUAACUAUGAGUGUACUAUAAAUUUUACUUCUUGUCAUUACCAACAUAUACCUUUUCUCUCUCUCUCUCUCUCUCUCUCUCUCUCUCUCUCUCUCUCUCUCUCUCUCUCUCUCUCUCUCUCUCUCUCUUUCUUUCAUUCUCUUUUACAGUUAGAAAUAGACUAUGUGAAAUAGAAUGGACAAAUACCAUAAAAUAUCGAUGUAUAUAUAACCAUCGGACUAUGUCAAUAAAUAAUGUCUAUAUAAAUAAAUAAAUAAAUAAUAAUAAUAAUAAUAAUAAUAAUAUUUAUUUAUUAAAUACAAAAUUAUUGACAUUCUGCUGACAUUAGCUACUGACAUUGGCCAAUUCAAUUUAAUAAUGAUUAAUCAUAUAUACGUAACUGG
Molecule: long non-coding RNA, 4359 nt
Organism: Vespa crabro (European hornet)
Lineage: Eukaryota; Metazoa; Arthropoda; Insecta; Hymenoptera; Vespidae
Exons: 2
Source: RefSeq, a predicted model, not a curated record